This 308-nucleotide ribosomal RNA is filed under the name uncultured bacterium. Its description in RNAcentral is "partial 16S ribosomal RNA". It matches the Rfam family "Bacterial small subunit ribosomal RNA", at positions 505 to 807 of the family's 1533-position model. The record is from RNAcentral.
GAGACAGCAGCCGCCGCGGGAAUACGGAGGGGGCUAGCGUUGUUCGGAAUUACUGGGCGUAAAGCGCACGUAGGCGGCUUUGUAAGUUAGAGGUGAAAGCCCGGAGCUCAACUCCGGAAUUGCCUUUAAGACUGCAGAGCUAGCAGGUGAGAGAGGUGAGUGGAAUUCCGAGUGUAGAGGUGAAAUUCGUAGAUAUUCGGAAGAACACCAGUGGCGAAGGCGGCUCACUGGCUCAUACUGGACGCUGAGGUGCGAAAGCGUGGGGAGCAAACAGGAUUAGAUACCCGAGUAGUCCCUGUCUCUUAUAC